AGAAGGGUUUAUGGUGGAUGCCUUGGCGUAUAGGAGCGAAGAAGGCCGUGAUAAGCUGCGAAAAGCUGCGGGAAGGAGCAAACAUCCUGAGAUCCGCAGAUUGCCGAAUGGGGUAACCCAGCAGACAGUAGUCUGUUACUAGUAUCUGAAUAUAUAGGAUAUUAGAGCGAUACUAGGGGAACUGAACCAUCUAAGUACCCUGGGAAUAGAAAUCAAUAUGAGAUUCCGGUAGUAGCGGCGAGCGAAAUCGGAAGAGUCUAAACCGUAGUAAUACGGGGUUGUAGGGCUGUUUGGGGGUAACCCGCAGAGUGAUAAAGCUGUUACAUAGCAGAACGGCAUGGAAAGGCCGGACAAAGAGGGUGAGAUCCCCGUAAGCGAAAUGGAAUAGCCUCUGUGAAACAGUACCUGAGUACAGCGGGGCACGAGAAACCCUGCCGGAAUCCGGGUCGACCACGAUCCAAGACUAAAUAUACUAUACGACCGAUAGAGCAGAAGUACCGUGAGGGAAAGGUGAAAAGAACCCCGGUGAGGGGAGUGAAAGAGAACCUGAAACCGUAAACCCACAACAGGUCAAAGCAUAUAUACCGCAAGGGAUAUGUGUGAUGGCGUGCCUUUUGUAGAAUGAGCCUGCGAGUUAUGUUAGCAUGCAAGGUUAAGGGAGUGAAAUUCCGGAGCCGCAGGGAAACCGAGUCUGAAAAGGGCGAAUGAGUAUGUUGGCAUAGACCCGAAGCCAAGUGAUCUAGUUAUGCGCAGGCUGAAAGUCAGGUAAAACUGAGUGGAGGGCCGAACCCUAGUCUGUUAAAAAAGGCAGGGAUGACGUGUGACUUGGAGCGAAAGACUAAACAAACUUGGAAAUAGCUGGCUCUCCCCGAAAUGCCUUGAGGGACAGCCUCAUCAAAAUCUCAAGAAGGUAGAGCACUGGAUGGACUAGGGGGCUUCACCGCCUACCAAACCCAAUCAAACUCCGAAUGUCUUGAGACAACUGAUGGGAGUGAGACUGCGGGCGACAAGGUUCGUAGUCGAGAGGGAAACAGCCCAGACCGUCAGCUAAGGUCCCUAAAUAUCGCUAAGUGUGAAAUGAUGUGUGAUGGCGAAGACAGCCAGGAGGUUGGCUUAGAAGCAGCCAUUCCUUAAAAGAGUGCGUAAUAGCUCACUGGUCGAGUCAUGAUGCGCAGAUAAUGUAACGGGGCUAAGCGAUAUACCGAAGCUACGGAUUCAUAUGGUGUUUACAUUGUAUGGAUGGUAGGGGAGCAUUCCACAGACCU
Molecule: ribosomal RNA, 1265 nt
Filed under: Spirochaetia bacterium
Lineage: Bacteria; Pseudomonadati; Spirochaetota; Spirochaetia
Description: partial 23S ribosomal RNA
Rfam family: Bacterial large subunit ribosomal RNA
Source: RNAcentral